GAUUCUCACUUUAGGGUAAGAUAAAAGUGGAGCCUGCAAUAGUGCACUUCAGCAGGUCUCACUGUGGAGCACACGUGAUAAUGCACUUCAGCAGGUCUCACUGUGGAGCACACGUGAUAGUGCACUUCAGCAGGUCUCACUGUGGAGCACACGUGAUAGUGCACUUCAGCAGGUCUCACUGUGCUCAUAUCUGGUUCAUGAAAGUGGCCUGGGCUAUUUUUUCAACUUCAAAUGUGAACACACCUUCAGAUGGUAACUUAAGGAAGCCCAGCAAUGUCUGUUUGGGAGAGAGUAUCACAAGGCAACAGAUAACCAAAACAC
Long non-coding RNA from Acomys russatus (golden spiny mouse), 321 nucleotides. RefSeq lists it as uncharacterized. The record is from RefSeq and is a predicted model, not a curated record. The transcript is spliced from 3 exons. Lineage: Eukaryota; Metazoa; Chordata; Mammalia; Rodentia; Muridae.